Molecule: ribosomal RNA, 506 nt
Filed under: uncultured bacterium
Lineage: Bacteria
Description: partial 16S ribosomal RNA
Rfam family: Bacterial small subunit ribosomal RNA
Source: RNAcentral
AGUGAACGCUGGCGGUAGGCCUAACACAUGCAAGUCGAACGGCAGCACAGGAGAGCUUGCUCUCUGGGUGGCGAGUGGCGGACGGGUGAGGAAUACAUCGGAAUCUACUUUUUCGUGGGGGAUAACGUAGGGAAACUUACGCUAAUACCGCAUACGACCUACGGGUGAAAGCAGGGGACCUUCGGGCCUUGCGCGAUUGAAUGAACCGAUGUCGGAUUGGCUAGUUGGCGGGGUAACGGCCCACCAAGGCGACGAUCCGUAGCUGGUCUGAGAGGAUGAUCAUCCACACUGGAACUGAGACACGGUCCAGAUUCCUACGGGAGGCAGCAGUGGGGAAUAUUGGACAAUGGGCGCAAGCCUGAUCCAGCCAUACCGCGUGGGUGAAGAAGGCCUUCGGGUUGUAAAGCCCUUUUGUUGGGAAAGAAAUCCAGCUGGCUAAUACCCGGUUGGGAUGACGGUACCCAAAGAAUAAGCACCGGCUAACUUCGUGCCAGCCGCCGCCGUAA